GACGUAGGAGGCGAGCGUUGUCCGGAUUCAUUGGGCGUAAAGAGCACGCAGGCGGUUUGGCAAGUCGGAUGUGAAAACCCGAGGCUCAACCUCGGGCCUGCAGUCGAUACGGGCAAACUAGAGUACUGCAGGGGAGACUGGAAUUCCUGGUGUAGCGGUGAAAUGCGCAGAUAUCAGGAGGAACACCGGUGGCGAAGGCGGGUCUCUGGGCAGUAACUGACGCUGAGGAGCGAAAGCGUGGGGAGCGAACAGG
RNAcentral lists this ribosomal RNA (253 nucleotides) under uncultured bacterium. RNAcentral describes it as "partial 16S ribosomal RNA". It matches the Rfam family "Bacterial small subunit ribosomal RNA", at positions 524 to 776 of the family's 1533-position model. The record is from RNAcentral.